Molecule: long non-coding RNA, 382 nt
Filed under: Medicago truncatula (barrel medic)
Lineage: Eukaryota; Viridiplantae; Streptophyta; Magnoliopsida; Fabales; Fabaceae
Description: long non-coding RNA (MTRU_LNC003997)
Source: RNAcentral
ACAAAGUGAGAAGAAUACCGAAAAUCGUAAGAAGCUUAAAGUCCCACAUGCUGGUGGUAGUAGGAGCAACGCAAGAAGGGGUCGUCUAAUGGUAAGCAGAUUCAAAAUAUUUAUGUAUCCCAACAAAGCUGUUAUUGAUGAGUUCUUAAUUUACAUUUUAUUUAUGAUGUUAGGAACAACAAUUAGGAAGGCCUGUAUGUCGAAGCGAGGUUAUUUUGUCAACUUUAAUAAAGAAUGAUGGAAAUUAUGUGAACGAAGAAGGAAAAGCAAUAGUUGUAAGUAUACUUUUGGGUGUGUUAAGUUGAUUAAAUGUUGUGCAUGUAGUAUAAGAGUUACACAUUGUUGAAAUAUUCUGCGAACUGAUUACAAAAUCAAAAUUCUG